This 22-nucleotide microRNA is filed under the name Eisenia fetida (common brandling worm). RNAcentral's name for it is "Efe-Mir-10-P3g_3p* (star (passenger))". Lineage: Eukaryota; Metazoa; Annelida; Clitellata; Crassiclitellata; Lumbricidae. The record is from RNAcentral.
ACAAGUAAGGAUCUCAGGAGCC